AUGCACGACCCCAGCGCCGCCUCGUUCCCCUGCAGGAGCCACGCCUGUCCAUUGCUGCUCGUCUUCAUCGAGCCGACCAAGUCCAAGGAAACGCCAUGGCCGCCCCUCUCCUCCUCACGGGUCCUGGACCCCUGCGCCCUGUCACCGGCGUCCAGCGCCGCCAUAGAUUCGCGCCAAGCGUUCCUCACCGCCGCCCCGUUUCUGCCGUUGCUGCCUGCGUCCUCUGCUUCUACCAGGACGCCGCCGCCUUGGCCUCCAGCUCCGCCCGGCCGCUUGCCUUCCUCGCCGGUUGGAGCAGCCACUGCAUUGCCUGGAGUCGCCGCGGCCAAGUCCCUCGAUCCCCGACCGGAGCCCACCUCCUUGCUGUUCCUGGCACCGUCACGCACCUACUCCCGCUGCUUCGAGGAUGAGGACGAACAGCGACCAGUGCCCGCGUUGACUUCCUCCGUUUUGACCGAGCGGCCUCGCUACCCGCCUGGGCUGCCUCCCUUCCAGCGCCAAGGCACAGCGCUCGGCCUCCCGGCCCAGGCGCUUCCUUCCCCUGCCAGCCUCUGCAAUAGCCGGCCUGCUAAGGCCCAAUGUGAGCAGCUCCCCAGCUCUGUUCCAGAUCCGGCCCGUAUCCUGUUUUUUUACAUAGAACGUUUUUGUAUUUUCCAGAGUCGGCAGUUUUUACAGAAAAACCCUCAACAUCAUGCAUAUAAUAAUUCUAGAACCGUGCAUCGGAUUAAAAUGUUUUAA
This 738-nucleotide ribosomal RNA is filed under the name Triticum aestivum (bread wheat). RNAcentral's name for it is "partial small subunit ribosomal RNA". Lineage: Eukaryota; Viridiplantae; Streptophyta; Magnoliopsida; Poales; Poaceae. The record is from RNAcentral.